Molecule: ribosomal RNA, 726 nt
Filed under: uncultured bacterium
Lineage: Bacteria
Description: bacterial SSU rRNA
Rfam family: Bacterial small subunit ribosomal RNA
Source: RNAcentral
GGUAGUCCACGCCGUAAACGAUGUCGACUUGGAGGUUGUGCCCUUGAGGCGUGGCUUCCGGAGCUAACGCGUUAAGUCGACCGCCUGGGGAGUACGGCCGCAAGGUUAAAACUCAAAUGAAUUGACGGGGGCCCGCACAAGCGGUGGAGCAUGUGGUUUAAUUCGAUGCAACGCGAAGAACCUUACCUACUCUUGACAUCCAGAGAACUUAGCAGAGAUGCUUUGGUGCCUUCGGGAACUCUGAGACAGGUGCUGCAUGGCUGUCGUCAGCUCGUGUUGUGGAAUGUUGGGUUAAGUCCCGCAACGAGCGCAACCCUUAUCCUUUGUUGCCAGCGGUUAGGCCGGGAACUCAAAGGAGACUGCCAGUGAUAAACUGGAGGAAGGUGGGGAUGACGUCAAGUCAUCAUGGCCCUUACGAGUAGGGCUACACACGUGCUACAAUGGCGCAUACAAAGAGAAGCGACCUCGCGAGAGCAAGCGGACCUCACAAAGUGCGUCGUAGUCCGGAUUGGAGUCUGCAACUCGACUCCAUGAAGUCGGAAUCGCUAGUAAUCGUAGAUCAGAAUGCUACGGUGAAUACGUUCCCGGGCCUUGUACACACCGCCCGUCACACCAUGGGAGUGGGUUGCAAAAGAAGUAGGUAGCUUAACCUUCGGGAGGGCGCUUACCACUUUGUGAUUCAUGACUGGGGUGAAGUCGUAACAAGGUAACCGUAGGGGAACCUGC